This 827-nucleotide long non-coding RNA is filed under the name Panax ginseng (ginseng). RNAcentral's name for it is "long non-coding RNA (PGIN_LNC002333)". Lineage: Eukaryota; Viridiplantae; Streptophyta; Magnoliopsida; Apiales; Araliaceae. The record is from RNAcentral.
CAUCAUCAAUAUUUCAUCCCUGUAACAAUAAUCAAUAUAAAUGUUUAAUCAUCUUUGCACUACAGGCCAAAGAUAUUCAUUUGUAUCACCAGUUGGUCAUGUUCAUCUGAACACCUGUUCAUCUUUGCACUACGGGCCAAAGAGAUUCAUCAGUUUAAUCAUUCAUCAUUGCACUACAGGCCAAAGGUAUUCAUCAAGUAACACCAUUAAGGACUGAGGAUGAUGAAAAACAUUUUAGAGAACGAAUCCAGUAAGACAGAAGGACAAAUAUUAGGGAUUCGUACAACAGUUUAUCCAAGAUCAAUAAUACUUCAUAAUAAACGAUUUUGAAGCAGAACUCAAAAAUAACGAUCAAAACAUGGAUCCAAUCAAAGAUAGUAGCCGAAAUAGACAUCUUGGACAAAAAGAAAAAUUUUCAUUUUUCGGUGAAUAGUGCCGUAUUUGUGAAUAGUGCCGUAUACGUGAAUAGUGCCGUAUACGUGAAUAGUAACCCCGACACAAAAAGAUAGAAAUUUCACAAAAAACAUCUUCACGCUUCGUGAAUAGUACUCGUGAAUAGUAACUCGUGAAUAGUAACUCAUGAAUAGUAACUCGUGAAUAGUAACUCAUGAAUAGUAACCCCGACAUGAAAAAGUUCCAAAUUUGAUAAAAAGUUCAACCAAUAUUUUGGCAUAAUGAUAUUGAAGAAAAUAAUAUCAUUUGCGAAAGAAAUAACAUCCCUUACCUCAAAAUAACCGUACUUCUGACUGAAUUUCGGUAUAGUGCUGACAGAAACUCGCACCGUAUAGCAACACUCAAAGUAUACUCACAAGAAUACGCUCGAUAAU